This is a long non-coding RNA of Drosophila yakuba, 9208 nucleotides long. RefSeq lists it as uncharacterized. The transcript has 2 exons. NCBI's taxonomy places the organism in Eukaryota, Metazoa, Arthropoda, Insecta, Diptera, Drosophilidae. The record is from RefSeq and is a predicted model, not a curated record.
AUAUAGUAUAUAGUCAGCAUAAUAUAUAAUAUAACAGAUAGAUAAUUGGAAAAACCUUCAUUCGUUGUGAUUGAUCACAAAGUUUUCCAAUUCGUUAUACACCAAUCUCUAUAUCAUUUUAGUGAGUCCGCUUGCGAGUUAAAGCAAGGAAAAUCUUGUCUAAUUUACCCUUGCACUGAGACCUUAGAUGUGGCACAUAAUAAAGCUACUGAUAGACUCAAGUCCAACUCAAAUUCAUUGUCAUUUUCACCUCAGUCUCGUUUUCAUUGUGGACACUUGUGGAAUUUCGCCUUUGCAAACACACGACUACAAAACGGCGACCGCCCGUUUGACCCCUGUCCAUAAAAAAACAGAGAAAGUAGGGGGCACUCGCAGAAACUACUCAUAAAUAAAUACACAGAGAUCCAUUGUUGUUUCGCCGCAUUUUGCUGGGCUUUGGAUGUGUUCAGUUCUUUUUUUCGGAAUCGUUUUGUUUGGCUUUGCUCGCCGGGUCGUGUGUUCGCUUGUUGCUUCUCAUUUUGCUUUUUUUAGAAAAACAAGGGGGUUUGUUUACGCUUUUGCAAAUGCCGAAAGGGGUGCUUCAGUUUAGUGCAGCAGCGGUGAAAAAAUAAAACGAAAUGGAAAUAAAUAAACAAGCCGUUUUUGCUGGCUGCUUAAAUUCGUAUAAAGAUUACGUUCCAGUUCGUUUAUGAAUUUUGAAAAUAUUCGAUGAAGAUUGCAUUUCAGUAUUUAGUACAUUAAAUAUUAUUGAAUUGUCUUCUUUGAACUAGAAUGUUUCAACUUUUAUAAUUCCGUUUGAAAAUCGAUCCCAGACAUUUAAAUAAAAUAAAAGCCUUUGAAUACUUUUCCCCUUUGUAAAUAAACUUUGCUCAAAUGCUUAUUCCAGAGGUCUUUAGCUGCAUCUAAUUCGCUUGGUAAACAUUUUAUAAAUUAUCUGCAGUUUAGCCACAAGCCAUAAAUAUGGCUGUGUAAUGUGCAUUUCCUUGCAAAUCUGCAUUGCUAUAUUUUUAUAUCUAGCCGGCGAACGUGGCGGAUGAGCAAUCUCAUUCGCACUUGCUAAUUCUCGUUUGCGCUCUCGUUCUCUGGAGAAUGCACUGAAAGCAAGGCCGCCGCAUUUUCCUCGGCCAAUUAUCUUAAUUAUUUCAUUUAACUUAUUACCAUAAUUAUCAUAUUUCGAUUUUGAGCGAGGCAGUGGACUGAAUGGAACGGAAACUCAUAAAUUUGAAACGCCUAUUUCGUUUUCACUUGCGUGCCACAAUUAUCGCAGUUUUAAAGGUGAGCGAAUUUCUCGCGGCUUUAUCCGCAGAAUAUAAAAAUAUAAUAUGUGUGUGUUUAUAUUAUUAAUUUAACAAAUAUGGCACAUUUCUAUUCAAGCCCGCGGAUGUAUUAUUUUUCUCCUUUUAUUAAACAUUUAUAUACAAUAAUAUCGGCCCAAAGAACUUUGUGCUCUUUGAACGAUGCGCCUUCAAGUGUUCUGGGUUUGUUGUUUGCAAUUGAUUAAAGUAGACCCAACCUUACAUCCAGAAAACCGAGGCAUGUUCUUCAAACAAAUGUGCACUGAAAAAAUAUGAACUAUAAAGAUUUAAUAUUAAUAUUGUGUCAAAUAAACUUGUUAGGCAAGCAAUAUAAUCAUCAAAACACAUUGUGUGGUACCUUUUUUUUCAGUAUUUGGAACAUUUAGGGGUGUACAAUCAUUAAUAAGGUUAAUAUUUUUAAGAGUGUACACUUGAUUGAAUAACCGCGACUGCAAGUGUUAGUGUGCCAGUGGGUUUUCAGUGUGUGCUCAUGCGUGUGUGUGUCUGUUUUUUGUAUCUUUGACUUUGAUCGCGCAUGAUUAAUGAUUACGCCUGUGUUUAUUGCCAUUGCCACUUCAAGGGAUUCGGGGAGGGGUUGAUAAAACUUUUCUUCCCGUCGCUUUCGGGAUUUCGAUGCCCGGUGAGUUUCUCAUAUUUCAACUUGAACACCUCCGCCCAGGGGCUGGUGUUGUCUUCGUGCGUUUGUCAUCGUUUAUAUAUAAUUGGACAAACUUGGCGCACAGUACACAAUAUAUCACAUUGAGGAUGAAUGUAUUAGAGAUUAGUGUAUACAAAAAAAAGAUGUUUAAUAUUAAGGUAGGUCAUAAAUAACUACUGCACGUGCUAGAUACAUUUCUUGUAAAUAAUAAUGCAAUGGGGAUAGAAAAUUUCAGUCACAUACUCCAAAAUCUCAACGACGACUAAGAGCUAAAAAAAGAAACAUAAAUGUAUUAAACUGGAAGAUUAACUCUCUUUGCUUCCAUCGGUAGCUCUAAAACUCUUGCACGAAUAAGAAGCUGAAAAUUUAAUAAAAGUUUAAGAGAAGCCAUAAAAAGGAAGCAGAAGUGCGAAUCCAAACGCAACACAAGCGAAACUUUCUAAUCCAAUGCCAAAAAACUGAGAGCUAUCGGGCUUUUGGUUUCAAUGCAAUUAAAACGAGUGCAGGUCCUUGCAUUCUUCUUGUGCAUUUAGGACCCGAGUGGCCUUUCACAUCGACAUCGACAUCGAGUAUACGCCACGUUGUGCCGCAGCGGGGUAGAGCUCUUCAAUGGCAGACUAAUUUUUGUAUUCUAUGCUUAAAUUGCUGUCCAAAAAAUAGAGAUAAAUAACAUGAAUGAGGGGCAGCCAUUAUGUACAUGCGUAUGAAUGCUGAUUCAUUAGCCAAACCUUCAAUUCCAUAGACAGAGGGCCAUUUAAAUGCGAAUUAGGCUAACCGCCCUUUUUGGUUGAGUGUGUGUGUGUGCUAGGGGGGUGUUUCUACACCCUAUGGUGUGUGUUUUUGGGGGUGUGGCUGUUGUGGUUUGGCCCUUCCUGCGGAUUAGAGAUCCUAGUUCUGUGGUCUCGCCCUGGCACGUUCAAUCUUUCCCUGGAUUGCAAAUAGUGGGUGGAUGUGUGAUUCUGGCCACUUUUGCUGGAUGGCGUUUAAUUUGAUUUGGCUGAGAAUGCAUAAACUACUUAUAGGGAAAACAUCAAUUAGUUGAGCUAAUUAAGAGGCGGUACAAGAGGCUGGCAAUGAAAACAGAUAAUUAGGACCCCUUGUAAGUUAAAAUAUGAAAAAUGUGUUUUACACACUAUUUUACGUAUUUAUAAAAGCAAACAAAUGUUUUGAAUACAUAACUAAAUGAUUCGGGUCUAGUAAUGCUCAAAGCAUUAAAUUUUUUUACUUAUUUUUACUGCUGGCCUACAAAAAGAAUUUCCAAUUUCAUUGGAUGAAAUUUUACUGUCAAAUAAUUAUUUUCAAGUCGUAUUCAAGUGGGUCGAGUCCAAUUCCCAUUAAAGUUAAUUAUCAAAUGGCUGGCAAAUCCAAAGCCAAUUUGAACCGGCUAUACCAGUUUGAAGCGUUAUUGCAAACAGAUCUUCUGAACAUAUUAAACCAUGAGCAAAAGACCGUGAUGGGACAUUUAAAUUAAAUGUCUCUCCAGAACCCACAAGUAGCGUGCAUUUUAUUCUAUCGGAUCGCACUAAAAUGUGCUGUAAUUGCUCAUUUAUGGAUACAAAAGAAAUGUUUGAACUAUGUGCUAAGCGAUUUUAUUAGCUACCGCCGGCCAUAAAAGUCGUCGACAUCAAAAGUCUAAAAAUACUCUUAGCCAAAUCGCCAAAAAACAAAAAAUAAGGUAAUAUCAAGGAAAAACAAAGGCAAGCGGCUGCCAAAGCAAAACAACAGGUAAUUAAGAAUGCAAAUAAACAAUGCGAAUCUAUUGAGAAUUUGCAAAAUGCAGAAAAUCGCUUUCCAUUCGGCUGUUAUAUUUUUUGACUUAGAUUCGAAUAAAAUAAUUCCCUAUUUUGCCACAAUACUUGCGUGUCACAACGAAAUAUUGGUGCAAUGUGCUAAACAAACUUGAUUUGCCAUAAAAUUUAAUUUCGCGCCCAUUUGGUGAAGACCAGUGGAGCGGCCCAGCCCAAAGAUUUGUGCAAAUGCUCAGCUGUUAGACGAAUACAAUCAAUUUUUGGCUUCUGAAAUGCAUGGCCAAAAGGCUGGGCCAAUAAAUCAAUUUGCAAUCUGUUGAAAAUUUUUGAAAAAUGUGGCGCGAUCGUUUGACAUUCUCGAGUCGGACAAGUGUGAAAGGAAAUGCUUACAGAUCUAUGUGUAAGAACUUUCGACAAAUUUGCUGCACUCUGAAAUUGAUUGCCAUAAUUUAAAUGUGUAUAGGCAAUAUUUCAACAAAGUUCGAACUGCAAAUUAUUUACGUCAACGGGUGGCGAACCACGUAAGCAAACAGGCAUACUGCAAACAGAUAAAUGAAUAAAAACAUAUACAGCUCGAAAAGCAUACUAAACAAAAACUUGGAAUAUCGUUCAAUAGAAGUACUCACUUAUUUGUAAAACGACACUUAUUUGUAGAAGUUUAUAAGUGCAAAUGGCUUUGUUUAUUUCGUUUAGCUUUCCAAACUUAUUAUUCACUUUAUCAGCCAAUAAAACAAAAGUGUCAAUACAUUACAAUCAAUGAAAUUUGAUGGACAUUCAAUUUUUGUUCUGUAGCUUUUCAUUGAUGAGAGCUAAAGUUUUAUUGAAUGCAAUUCAGUUUGGCACUUAAAAUCCAGUAUCUGCAAUAGUUAUCAAUUUUUAUGUGAAAGAUCUUCGGAUGGCUAAUUAUCGCAAAACAAAACACUUUGUCACAUUUUUGUUUUAGAGAGACACGGUUUCCCAUAUUUAUACUUCAUUAUAAAUAAACAGGUCUCAUUCUCUGUUAUUUCUGUAGUCAUUUUACCUUGGCUGUUGAUUGCCCCCGAAAUGUUUGUAUAAACCUCUUUAUUUAUGUUACAAUUUAGCUUUUUUCUUGUUCCCCAUCAUUACACAUGUUAAUUAUUCAUUUUUUUUUAGUCCUAUCCACACAGAGAACAAAAAUGUUUAUUGAAAUCUCGAUAACCACAUACAUGCACAUAAAUCCCUGUGAUAGACACUCUUUUUGCACGAAUUUAACAGGAUUAAGUUAUGAUAUAUUUAUAAUAAAAGACCAUGCAAAAAAGGCUGCUUUUCUCUCGGUGUAUGGUUUGGAAUUUGGCUGACACAGAACUUGUUGUUGCUGUUUGAUUAGGCUUCUAGGUUGACACAUGGGGCCACACAAAUACAGACGGGCAGACAUAUAGACAGAUCGGCCGACUGACAGAAAGUCCCUCAUAGAUAGACACCCAUAUACUCACAAAACUCGGCAAACUCGGGAGACGGACAGAGCACAUGUGUUGAAAAUUUAACAGAAAUGUGCAAAUUUAAUUAAAUUCAAACGAGAAAUAAAUAUAAAUAAGCUUUAUUCACACAUUUAUUUACGUACAUACGUCCGUACGAAUAAUACUAUGUAGUAUUCUAUGGCGGAGAUCUUGUGAAAAUAAGAAGCUGUGUGACCUAAGGAAAAAUAACAAAUAACAAAAACAACCAGCUCAUUGCUGCUGCAAUUGUGUACGUAAAUAAAAACGCAAUUUUCACACUUUUUUUAAACUUGACAAAGUCAAAUCACAGAGGAAAAAAAACGGAAAACACUAGCGAAACACUCUGCAACAAAUUAACAGAACCCAUAAUAUACAUUUUCAAUUGUAAGCAAUCUAUAGAAAAUAUAUUAUUUUGCAUAUUGCAUAUUAUUUUAUAUUAAUAAUUAGUCAAAUUAACUACCUAUUUGUUAACCAACCAUUUGUUUGGGUAACUAGUGUACACCGUAGGGAGGCCCAUGCAAAACGUGGGAUCUGUAAAUGCUGUAAAUUAGCCAAAAGCCCGAAUACUAUGUAUAUUAAUUUGUAUUUAUAUGCCAGACGAAAGAUAAGGUCUCUGAAAUGUAGACUAGGCAAGAGGAAAGAGUUAGGGAGAUAAGACAUUUUCCAAAUAAUAAUGCAAGCCCAUUUUAUAAUGACUCAUAAUACACUGCACGUUUUUACCCGCUGCUAGUUGAGCAUUUGUGAUAAGUCAAAUAUUUCCUUUACUUUCAGACCGCAUUCGAUUGGGAAAUAUAAAACAGGUUUGGCCGCAGAGAAUUUAAAAUAUAAUUUGUCUCAUUGGACUUAGUGGCGGCUUCAAUAAAGCAUUUUAUCGGCGCUAUCGCCAUUUGAUAAUGGGCCUGGCCAAAUGGCCAGAAACCCCGAAACAAACCCAGAAACAAACCCGCCCAGGUCGCUUCUUCAUUUACGUUAUCGGAGGAGCAUAUGGCAAGCGGCUUUGAUUUGGUUUUUAUUUUCACUCAUUCACAUAUACGAAGGCGUGACACUUUUUUAUAGAAUCUUUACUCUCGACUCGGUUCUUUACUAUGUAGAUAAACUAAAAUCUGGAAUAAAUGAGCCCCGCUGAGUGGGGGCGUUAAUUUAUUAAUGCGGAGCCGUGAGCCAAAACAAAAAUCUGCGAGAACACUUUUAUAACUUGAUUUAUUUAAAGACAACAGCAUUUGGCAAAUGAAACGGAUGAGUUGGUGUUGCUAAAUGUGUGCUUAAAAAUACAUCGAAAUUAUGAGACAUGCACAGAAGGACAUUGGCAAAGGUCAUUCUUGACAUAAGGAGGCAGCAUAGAUAACAUAAAUGAUUUUUAUUAGAUCUCGAAUUAUGUGGAAAAUUAUCCUAUAGAAUUCGGCUACUGCUAGAAUCUACGGAGUCCGAAGCAGUUUUAAGGGAAAGUUUUACUUUGGAAAAAAUACUUAAAUUAAAUUAACUUUAAUCAACUGGAAUUAAAAAAGUUAGUUAAGAAAAUUUAACUGGCCUACAAACAGCUGUGAACAAUUAAAUAGUACGACUAGCAGUAAAAAAAAAAUAUUAUUAAUAAAUGUGUUAUUAAAUAUAUAUUUAGAGUUUCCACAAUUCGUUCUCUUUUAGAAAGAAGCUUUUUACGUUGAAUAUUUAAGAAUGUUAUAAUUUUAUUAUAAUAAUAAGGAGCAAUAUAUUUGAUUGCUUCUUGCAAUAUGUUGCUAAAACAUUUUACGACCGCAAGCACAAUAAUUUGAGCACAGCUGUGCAGGAAAAUAUAUAGAGUAUCGAACUCAUAUAUAUGUAUGUAUAUUUAUAUAUUUUGUAUCACUUUUUCCACCAGAUCUUCACACAUAGGCGAUCAUCAACUCGUUCGGCCAAUGAAGAAAAAGUUUCGAAUAAAAAACCACUAAAAACACGAAAUAGCAACAAUAAUAACCAGAACAGACGCAAUAAUCGCCACCAGCUGCCAAGUAGCAUUAAUUUAAUUUGUGGGCUUAAUUCGGAGGCACUUGUUGUUAUUUUUGCUAUGACAUUGCUUUUUUGUAAUUAAUAAACGACUAACAAAAACGCAAAUAUAAAUAAAUAAGUCUGUAGAAAACCCAGAUCAGAUGCGAUUAGCACUAUCGCAAUGAGCAGCACCGAAAAAGAGAUGCCUGUGAAUAUGUAUAUUCGAUCUGUCGCUAACCAUUCAGAUUGUUUGCUCGCCGACUCGCAUCGCGUCGCAUUUUUUGUAUUUUCGUAUUUUUAGCUAAUUUCAGUUGCUAUUGAGCUUGGCAAUUAGUUACACUUGAUUAUAUGAAAGCAGAUCGCGGGUGAACAGUUUGCCGGCCCCUCAAGUUCGAUGUUUAUGUAUUCUAGUUGUAUUUUAGCUCGUAUUCCACUUUGUUUUUGAAUUGGUUUUGUUUUCGAAACGGAAGGAAAUAACCCAUCCUAGACUCUCCUGUGUUUCCAUUGGCUUUUCCUGCCUUUUACUGCAAAUUUCAUUGAGCCCCAUCCCGGAUGCAAUGGACCAUAAAGGUGCAGCGGGACAAUUGGCAUGAAAUGCAGAAUAUCGGAAUGAACAAUGCGGGUGAAGGCCAAAAUUCGACGGCUCGUCCGUCAAUCAAAGUGUUCUCAACGGACAGAGAUAGACGUCCGUGUUCGAUGCAAAAAUAUUGGCAUGUCAUAAAGGUAAUGUUCAAAGGAAUCGAACUGUGUCGACGAAAGUGUAAUAAUACGAGUAUAUGAUUUCUUAUAGUGGAAAUAAUAUAGCAAUAGUAUAACAAGUAAGGUUAUAUAAUUUGUUAUAUACAACUUGGAAUUUUUUGUUAAAUUCUAACCUGUAACUACUUUUCGCGAAAUAAAAACAGUCAAGAAAACAAAAUGUAUGUACUACAUCAUGGAAAAUCGCAGUUUUGACGGUCCCCAACAACACACAAAUGCCCCAGGCCAUUUUCCGAAAACAAAAAUGAUUUGUUUUUCUUAAAUUACGCGAUUUUUCUUCUGGCAACUAUAGUCCUUCCCGAAAAAGUAACUUACUUUUUCAUGCAGGUGCUCGCGAUUCUAAAGACAAAUGUGCGUUGGAAUAUAAAAUGCGGUUAUUAUUUUCUGUAUUGAAGCGGUGAUUGUUGAGCAACAUGCUGCUAAUGUCAGGCGCAACAAAAGGCUGGCAACUUGUUGAUGGAUUCGAAUGUAAACAGAGAAAUGUUUCACAAAUGCUCUCUUUUGUACACCUUAAAAAUAUUUAGUGCUUUACCUUCGCCUUCUGGUCAAAACUUAAAACGUUUGCCCCUUGUCAUUGUAAGCUGAUAAGCAUUACAAAGUGUGAAGCUAACUUAUCUUGGGCUACGGAAAAUCUGUGCACACACUGCUACAAUAAUUUAUGGGACCCAUAUUAUGGAAAAAUAAUUUGCUCACUUACUUUAAAUUAUAAGCAUAAAAGUAAGAUUUUAUUUUAAAAUAUGUAUACUUUAUUCUUUAUUGCUCUUCGGUUGCAUUCAAUCAGCAUUCGCAUAUAUGGUACACAAAAAAUACACAGAGAUAGUAUAUAGUUAGAAUAAUGUAGAUUUAAGUGAUUUCACGACGCACAAACAUCAAAUGCAUAAUAAAGUAUCAGCUUCAGUUACAUUUAACAGUUCCGGUUGCAUGAUUUCUGUUUUCUUUCAGUUUUCGGGCGACUUGAUCUCACAAUAAACCAUUCCGUUCAUCAAUUUUAAAUACAUAGCGAAAUGCAAACAACUUUAUUAAAGUUAAUUACUCAAUUGUUAAUCUGUUUGAAAAUAUAUGUUAAACAUAGGCAAUGACAUUUAGAACCAAACGACUGACUGACUGAUUGACUGACUGGCCUAGUGACUUGACUUGGUUUUGACUUGACUGACCGACUUGGCGUCUCAUUGAGGACUUAGGCGAAAAACGCUCUUCAUCUGCACACAAUCAAUUUGCAAAUUGGGUAUCAAAAAUACUUAUUAUGGCUUUACACUUUAGUUACAAAAAUAUUUAAUACCUUUAACAAAAAUACUUGACGAUCAAUUACAUUUUUGGAAAAAUUCGCGUACA